UACGUAGAAGACUAGUGUUAUUCAUCUUUAAUAGGUUUAAAGGGUACCUAGACGGUAAAUCAAGCCUGAAAUAUGGGACUAAUGUACUAGAGUUACUUACGAGGGGGUAUUAAAGUACUGCUGGUGUAGAGAUGAAAUUCUGUCAUACCUCGUUUCACAGGAAACAUUACGGCACAGGUAUAGGCGAAAGCAUCUCCUUAUGUGAUAACUGACGUUGAAGGACGAAGGCUUUGUGUAGCGAACAGG
Molecule: ribosomal RNA, 246 nt
Filed under: uncultured Lecanora
Lineage: Eukaryota; Fungi; Ascomycota; Lecanoromycetes; Lecanorales; Lecanoraceae
Description: partial small subunit ribosomal RNA
Source: RNAcentral